Molecule: ribosomal RNA, 253 nt
Filed under: uncultured bacterium
Lineage: Bacteria
Description: partial 16S ribosomal RNA
Rfam family: Bacterial small subunit ribosomal RNA
Source: RNAcentral
UACGGAGGGGGCUAGCGUUGUUCGGAAUUACUGGGCGUAAAGCGCACGUAGGCGGAUUAUUAAGUCGGAGGUGAAAGCCUGGGGCUCAACCCCAGAAUUGCCUUCGAUACUGAUAGUCUCGAGUUUGGAAGAGGUUGGUGGAACUCCGAGUGUAGAGGUGAAAUUCGUAGAUAUUCGGAAGAACACCAGUGGCGAAGGCGGCCAACUGGUCCAAUACUGACGCUGAGGUGCGAAAGCGUGGGGAGCAAACAGG